CCUACGGGUGGCAGCAGUGAGGAAUAUUGGUCAAUGGACGAGAGUCUGAACCAGCCAAGUAGCGUGAAGGAUGACUGCUCUAUGGGUUGUAAACUUCUUUUAUAUGGGAAUAAAAUGUUCCACGUGUGGGAUUUUGUAUGUACCAUAUGAAUAAGGAUCGGCUAACUCCGUGACAGCAGCCGCGGUAAUACGGAGGAUCCGAGCGUUAUCCGGAUUUAUUGGGUUUAAAGGGAGCGUAGGUGGUUUGUUAAGUCAGUUGUGAAAGUUUGGGGCUCAACCGUAAAAUUGCAGUUGAAACUGGCAGACUUGAGUACAGUAGAGGUGGGCGGAAUUCGUGGUGUAGCGGUGAAAUGCGUAGAUAUCGCGAAGAACUCUGAUUGCGAAGGCAGGUCACUGGACAGCAACUGACACUGAGGCACGAAGGUGUGGGUAUCAAACAGGAUUAGAUACCCCAGUAGUC
Molecule: ribosomal RNA, 460 nt
Filed under: uncultured bacterium
Lineage: Bacteria
Description: partial 16S ribosomal RNA
Rfam family: Bacterial small subunit ribosomal RNA
Source: RNAcentral